CGGAGGGUGCAAGCGUUAUCCGGAUUUACUGGGUUUAAAGGGUGUGUAGGCGGGCUGUUAAGUCAGUGGUGAAAUCUCCGGGCUCAACCCGGAAACUGCCAUUGAUACUAAUGGUCUUGAAUAUCGUUGAGGUAGGCGGAAUAUGUCAUGUAGCGGUGAAAUGCAUAGAGAUGACAUAGAACACCAAUUGCGAAGGCAGCUUACUAAGCGAUGAUUGACGCUGAGGCACGAAAGCGUGGGGAUCAAACAGGAUUAGAUACCCUGGUAGUCCACGCCCUAAACGAUGAUUACUCGACAUACGCGAUACACAGUGUGUGUCUGAGCGAAAGCAUUAAGUAAUCCACCUGGGAGGUACGUCCGCAAGGAUG
RNAcentral lists this ribosomal RNA (368 nucleotides) under uncultured organism. Its description in RNAcentral is "bacterial SSU rRNA". It matches the Rfam family "Bacterial small subunit ribosomal RNA", at positions 526 to 896 of the family's 1533-position model. The record is from RNAcentral.